CCUACGGGCGGCUGCAGUGAGGAAUAUUGGUCAAUGGACGAGAGUCUGAACCAGCCAAGUAGCGUGAAGGAUGACUGCCCUAUGGGUUGUAAACUUCUUUUAUAUGGGAAUAAAAUGUUCCACGUGUGGGAUUUUGUAUGUACCAUAUGAAUAAGGAUCGGCUAACUCCGUGCCAGCAGCCGCGGUAAUACGGAGGAUCCGAGCGUUAUCCGGAUUUAUUGGGUUUAAAGGGAGCGUAGGUGGAUUGUUAAGUCAGUUGUGGAAGUUUGCGGCUCAACCGUAAAAGUGCAGUUGAAACUGGGAGGCGGGAGGACAGUAGAGGUGGGCGGAAGUGGUGGGGUAGCGGUGAAAUGCGUAGAGAGCAGGAGGAA
This 371-nucleotide ribosomal RNA is filed under the name uncultured bacterium. Its description in RNAcentral is "partial 16S ribosomal RNA". It matches the Rfam family "Bacterial small subunit ribosomal RNA", at positions 338 to 706 of the family's 1533-position model. The record is from RNAcentral.